This is a non-coding RNA of Phrynosoma platyrhinos (Desert horned lizard), 72 nucleotides long. NCBI's taxonomy places the organism in Eukaryota, Metazoa, Chordata, Lepidosauria, Squamata, Phrynosomatidae. The record is from the annotation of a GenBank genome assembly.
CCCAGUGUGGCGUAGUGGUUUGAGCUUUGGACUAUGACUGUGGAGAACAGGGUUCGAAUCUCUGCUCGGCCA